UUCCUACGGGGCGCAGCAGUGAGGAAUAUUGGUCAAUGGCCGAGAGGCUGAACCAGCCAAGUCGCGUGAGGGAAGACGGCCCUACGGGUUGUAAACCUCUUUUGUCGGGGAGCAAAGCGAGUCACGUGUGACUCAUUGAGAGUACCCGAAGAAAAAGCAUCGGCUAACUCCGUGCCAGCAGCCGCGGUAAUACGGAGGAUGCAAGCGUUAUCCGGAUUUAUUGGGUUUAAAGGGUGCGCAGGCGGCGAGUUAAGUCAGCGGUAAAAUUUCGGGGCUCAACCCCGACGAGCCGUUGAAACUGGCUU
RNAcentral lists this ribosomal RNA (305 nucleotides) under uncultured bacterium. RNAcentral's name for it is "bacterial SSU rRNA". It matches the Rfam family "Bacterial small subunit ribosomal RNA", at positions 336 to 639 of the family's 1533-position model. The record is from RNAcentral.